Molecule: long non-coding RNA, 648 nt
Filed under: Homo sapiens (human)
Lineage: Eukaryota; Metazoa; Chordata; Mammalia; Primates; Hominidae
Description: non-protein coding MALINC1:77
Source: RNAcentral
GCUGCCUCUUACGUAUUGUAGGCAGUGCCUGAUGGCUGAGAAGAAUCGCAGAGGACUAGAAAAGGUUUGAGUCUGAAAUUAUCUGGCACAGAGGAUUAAAGCUCAGAAAUAAGUGAUUGCGAAACAGUUCAACUUCCCUGUUAAUGACAACAACAACAGCAACACGCUUAUUAAUUCCUAGCUGGAGCAUCAAGCUUAUGAAGAUUUCCAAGACUUUAUUGUUGACCCUUGUUGAAGAGAACUCUACUUGGCUUCUUUCCUGGCUUUCCUAAAUUGUUCACAUACAAGAUAAACUACCGUCAUUCAGACUUACAGAAGUGAGAAGACAAGCUGAACCAAAUGUAAAAUGGUAGCAAUUUACAGGUAAUUCUGUAUCUUAAUUUCUCCCACAUUUUUAGGGUAAAAAAUUGUGAUAUAUGGGGGUUAUUUGGAUCAAGUGUUUUCUAAGUAGAACUUUGUCAUAAUUAAUUUUAUGUAUUUAUAGUAGUUCUCCCUGUGUCCCUUUAUCCAAGCAACACAAUACAAUUGAAUUUAUAUGCAUUUCAAAAUAGACUCCAUUUGAUUUACCGUGUAAAUACAACCACCAAGGAAUAUAGAGGUAUGACAAUCAGGAGUGAGAAAUAAAAGCAUUUCUGGAUAGAGGAUGAA